Molecule: long non-coding RNA, 825 nt
Organism: Osmerus eperlanus (European smelt)
Lineage: Eukaryota; Metazoa; Chordata; Actinopteri; Osmeriformes; Osmeridae
Exons: 3
Source: RefSeq, a predicted model, not a curated record
UUUAUUUCAUAACCAUUGAAACGCACCAUCAGGAAAGGAAAUUAGAAUAAAACCGUUAUUAACAUCUCCAUCAAAUAACCAAGAGGUUACAUUCAGAAGGAGGUAGCCCUCAUAGAUGGGACCAGCACGUGCAGGACCAGCACGUUUCUGCCAAUACAACAAUGGUGCUAAACAGACUGUCGGCAAUUAUCCUUCAAUUCUCUCGUUACAGACAGUGCUUCACGUGAUUAUUGGCAGGCAGCGGGAGAGUGGAUGGAGAUUUUGAUUGAGUGGCUAUUAUGUGUGUCUUGUCGGUAGUGCUGGGAGUAGCUCGCGUGUGUACGGUGCAUCACUGAGAGCUCUGUGGGGAUGAAAGCACGUGACAGUGACAGCGUAUUUUAUUCGAUGUAAAAGAAAGGAAAGAUAGUUCAGUACCGUACACCGGAUCUUUGCUGAUAUAUCGAAAGCGGGUUGGCCGUAGCUCAACGCGCGCUUUGCCAUCUGAACUGCUGAAUAGAAAGAAUCGAAUAUCUUAUUUUUAUCUAGUCUAUUGCCGAUAUUCUUAAGUAAUUGUCUGCAAAUGUUGAUGUGUUGAAAAAAAAAACAAGGUACCUCCCCUUACUGAUUUUACCUGCCGAUAAGCAUCAGCACCGUAGUGGCCGGACCUCGGGAACGCUCCGCUCCGGCUACAUCAGUAGAGGCACCGCUUUAUACGGAUUGACAAGACCUUCUCAAAGACCAGAAGUGUAUGGAAACAAGAUGGAAGGACUCCUGGCAUCUCUGACAGAGUAGAACCUUCCCUGUUACACUACCUACCUACCACCCACACAGGAGCACUGUCUGAGG